UACGGAGGGUGCAAGCGUUGUCCGGAUUUAUUGGGUUUAAAGGGUGCGUAGGCGGCCCUGUAAGUCAGUGGUGAAAUACUGCAGCUUAACUGUAGCAUUGCCAUUGAUACUGUAGGGCUUGAGUACAGAUGAGGUAGGCGGAAUUGAUGGUGUAGCGGUGAAAUGCGUAGAUAUCAGGAGGAACACCUGUGGCGAAAGCGGCGCACUGGACCACAACUGACGCUGAGGCGCGAAAGCUAGGGGAGCAAACAGG
Molecule: ribosomal RNA, 253 nt
Filed under: uncultured bacterium
Lineage: Bacteria
Description: partial 16S ribosomal RNA
Rfam family: Bacterial small subunit ribosomal RNA
Source: RNAcentral